GUGGGCGACCUACCUUCGAGUGGGGGAUAACCUUCCGAAAGGAGGGCUAAUACCGCAUGACAUCCCGUGUUUGGAUACACGGACAUCAAAGUCGGGGAUCGCAAGACCUGACGCUUGAAGAGGGGCCCGCGUCCGAUUAGCUAGUUGGUGGGGUAACGGCCCACCAAGGCUCCGAUCGGUAUCCGGCCUGAGAGGGCGGACGGACACACUGGAACUGAGACACGGUCCAGACUCCUACGGGAGGCAGCAGUAGGGAAUUGUUCGCAAUGGGCGCAAGCCUGACGACGCAACGCCGCGUGGAGGAUGAAGACCUUCGGGUCGUAAACUCCUUUCGACCGAGAUGAAUACCUACCGACCUAAUACGUCGGUAGGCUGACAGUAUCGAGGGAAGAAGCCCCGGCUAACUCCGUGCCAGCAGCCGCGGUAAUACGGGGGGGGCAAGCGUUGUUCGGAAUUACUGGGCGUAAAGGGUUCGUAGGUGGCCUGUUAAGUCAGACGUGAAAUCCCUCAGCUCAACUGAGGAACUGCGUCUUGAGACUGGUAGGCUUGAGUGCAGGGAAGAGGAACGCGGAAUU
Molecule: ribosomal RNA, 575 nt
Filed under: uncultured bacterium
Lineage: Bacteria
Description: bacterial SSU rRNA
Rfam family: Bacterial small subunit ribosomal RNA
Source: RNAcentral